AGACUCCACUGCACCUUGGCUGGGGGUCAUGGACUCAAGAGGAGCUAAGAUUCUUCUAGCUUCGUGUCCUGCAUCUGCUGAAGUUGGGAAAGAGUUGGAUUAACUGUCUGAUAUUGGAUAAGUAUAGGGGCUGCUGUCAAUCCUGCCGUAAUAUCCUUUCACUCGCGUACCAGCCAGAUCAGAAUUGCAGCAAGAAGGAGAAAACAGAGGAGGAAAUUGAGGUGAAGCCUGAAGUUAAACAAAAUCCUCCAGAGCCUGUAUCUGAAGCAGGAAAUUCAAACAUUCUAAAGAGUCUGUGGUUCCCUCCCAGCACCAUCCCCACCCAGAAAUCUGGCCAGAUUGUCAAUGGAUACGCCUUCCUGUUUGGUGACCAGUGGGACUUCUUUUUGGUGGUAUUCUGAAAUUGACAGGAUGGGUUGGAAAUAGGUGUCUAUUUCAGGCAAGAAGUAGUAGAGAUAUGAUGGCCCCUCCUGAUGUGGGCAGCCUGAGGAGGGGUGUGACCCGAGGUCCUGACAUCUUUGUCUUCUGGGUCCAGCCUGUUCUCCUCCACCUUGACCCUUGCCGUUCUCCUGCUGAUAAUCCUGAGCCUGGUCCUGGCCCAGUGGCCCAGCCAGCUGUUCUCUGGAGACCCCGUGCUCACAACAGUGGCUGUGCUGCUGCUGUUCAUCACUGGGGUCACAGUCAUCAUCUGGAGGCAGCCCCAGGACCCCACUGCUCUUCCAUUCAGGGUCCCUGCUCUGCCUGUCCUCCCGCUGGUCAGCAUCUUCGUGAACGUUUCCCUGAUGAUGCAGAUGACCUCUGGAGCCUGGAUCCAAUUCAGUGUCUGGAAUGCCAUUGGAUUUGCCAUAUACUUUGGCUAUAGGAUCCGACACAGCCUGGAGGAGAACAAUGAGCAACAGCUUCUAGCCUGCACCUUCCAGACUCCUCACCCAAGCAUCCCUGCUGCUGAAUCAUCUUAACCACAGGACACAGAUGCCAUGUGGAGUCCCUCCAUCCGCUAGAGGAAUCUUCUGGUUCAAGGGGCACUUUGAGCCUCUAUGGACAAUGAAGGUGCAAUGCAUUUAGGGACCUAUAUUUAUUGCCAGUGGACAAAUGACGUACAUGCUGAAUAGUUUUUAAGUUUUCUUUUCAGACCACGAUACACAUACCAAAAGGGCAUGCUUUGUAAGUGUGCAGCAAGAUGAUAUUUCACAAAGAAUGUAUAACAAUGUAAGCAGCUACUG
Long non-coding RNA from Capra hircus (goat), 1223 nucleotides. RefSeq lists it as uncharacterized. The record is from RefSeq and is a predicted model, not a curated record. The transcript is spliced from 3 exons. Lineage: Eukaryota; Metazoa; Chordata; Mammalia; Artiodactyla; Bovidae.